CCGACAUUGAACCAAGUCCAGUGACGCAAUAGCUGGUAAAUAAGCGGGUUUUAAUCUAUGUUCGAUCUGUCAGACCAAUGUGUGUCACAGGCGGUGAAUUUUUCGUGGAUCGUGUGUACAUCGUCAGUCGUACUGCAGCCCUUCUCAACGUCACAUACAAACGUAAUAAUUCGUUUUCUUUGUUUACGUUAUUCUUCUGGCGUAUCAUCGAGCUUUGCUCACGCACAGUGGAUGAAAUCCAACGGGCCAUCACUCGGCAACAACAGGAAACUUAUGACGAUGAGGAAUCGCAUAGGGUAGUGGGUAAUUUACAAGAGCAGGCUGCAUUCGACAACGCCAAAGAAGUGAAUGAUCCUGACGACCCUGACUUCGUUAUGCAAGAUAACGCGGAAGCAGAUCCCGAUAUAAAUGAGGCAGAUAUGCAGAAGCGCACAGUACCAACGCCUAGAAAAAGAGCACAAGUAGAUAGACAGAGUACAUCUAUUUGAACGCCAGCCAUGACUUGGUCGAAAGCAGCACCUGAACUUCGGGGCAGGCAUGUCGGUGAGCAGGACUGGCUUACUUGCUAUACGCGAGAAGCUCGAGACGCCGCAAAGGAUGUUUUUUCCAUGAUAGAAGCUUGGUCAUUACUAUUUAUUGACGGCAUGCUUGCAUUGAUUAUAAAGCAUACGAAUGAAUCAAUACUGCGUUGGAUUGUGAAAAUGACGAUUGAAGCGCAACAAGGUAGAGAAUUCGUCAAGCAUAUGUAUUAUGAUGAAACAAAUAUGGCAGAAAUGAAAGCUUUUAUUGGUCUCAAUAUCAUGGAGGCAUUUAUGGAGUAUUAAUGACCGCCGUACAUUCUUUGUGGGAGUCUGAGUCAAUGUCCUUGUUCACCGCAGAUAUUACACUCCAUAUGAGCACGUGAUUAUCGAUGAGCAGCUACUCUCUUUCCGUGGAAAAUGUCCGUUUAGAAUCUACAUGAAGAGUGAACCUGCCAAAUAUGGCUUGAAGAUUCUUAUGAUAAUCGAUAGUAAAACCUAUUACAUGUUCAUCACGAUACCAUAUGUCGGAAAAGUGGAUACCGUAGGUCGAGAGAGUGUCCCUUCAUAUCAUGUCAAACUUCUAAUCGAGCCGAUACAUGGAAGUAAGCGCAAUGUUACUUGUGACAACUGGUUUAUGUCCGCACCUCUUGUAGAAAUAAUGAUUGAAGAGCCUAGUGAAUCCUAAAAUCCGUGAUAUUAGGGUGAUAUUCACGUAAUCACUCAAAUUCCACUCAACUCAUCGGUGUAGUUGUAAAAUUUUUCCACCACGGUUUUACUAAAAUUACCCUCGGAAAAUCGACUCUGGUAUCAUCAAAAUAUCAUUAUUUUAAUUCACUGGCGAUCUCCUAUUUUCCCUAACUUUAUAUAAAUUUUUCAUAUGCACGUUACGUUCGUGGACGUCGUUUACUCCCGAGCGGUAAGGAAUAAACUGGUUCGACUUCGCUUUUACGUCCGGGGACAACCGGAAGUUGGGGUUGAAUAAGGGUUGAAUAACCGUUUGGAUGUUUGAGAUAUCAACUAUGUAUUUGAUUGAAUAAUUUGUGGUAUAGUUUAAACGGAGUGUGUAGUUCACAAUAUCGGUAAAAAAAACUAUACGUGAGAUUGUUGAGUGUCGAAAUAGAAUUUAUCGUACCGAAUGUUGGAAUGGUAAUGAAUCUGAGCUAAAGAGGAGUAGACGUAAGGUGCGCAAAAUGGUGGGGAAUAGAAUUAGCAGAGUUGGCAAAAAGCGAGUGGCGUGAGCCAAAAUGGAAAUAGGAGGACGGGAAUGAGAUGAUAAGGUUAUUGUAAGGAUCGUGGGAGAGUAACGAGAUGAGGGAGACAUGUGGCGAUAUGCCGGACGUAACAUGCAAAUCUUUAUGAUAUAAUUCAUACAGUAUCGUUGGAAUUAGUUCUUUGACUAAUUUUUUUUUGUUUAUAAUUUUGAAUAACAGUUUUUUUUUCUUGCGUCUUGAAACAUCAGCAGUUUCUAAUUAGAAUAAAUUGCUUUUUUCUAAGAUACAAUUUUUUGAAAAAUUACAAAUAUUUUGGAUAUUUUAUGAAAACAAUUUCCGAGUGUCCGUUUUUUCUCUCCACUAAAUUCCCCCUCCCCUGACCCUCCCCUUGUUGACCGCGCCAGCUGUCCAACAAAAAUUUGCGAUAUAUAUCUUUUGUAAGAUUAAUUUUUGCCAGCAUUCAUUGCGGAUCGCCAAAUUAUUGUGCACACGGUAAGUUCUCGGGCCACUUCUCCGGGCGGAGUUACAGCAAAAAUCCGCGUCUCAGUGCAAAAAAAAAAAAACAAAACAAAACAAAACAAUAACUCGUAUUACGGUGUCGAUGACACAUUAAAAGCGUGUCAUAAAAUUAAAGCUUUUAUCGGAAAAUUCUACUUGCAACAUGAGUGGCUAACGAAACUGUUUGGGAUUACCGGUGAAGUUUGCACUGCGAUAAAUCGCGCCAACGUUAAUCUUUAUUGUGCAGGUAAUGAUAUAACCAUUAGCGAACUGAGCGUAGGUGAUAUUGAUUAUACAUUAUUCCCGUAUUACACACCGCGUGUACUGCAAAUUUACACUCGUAGUUUCGUUGACCACUAAGAUAUACUAGUUCGUCUGAACCAUAAAUUAAAAAAAUCAUAGAACGAAUAUUUAAACGCAUAUCUUGGAUCCGUCGAAUUCAACGUGAUGUAAUAAACAGAUACGAUUGGCCGUUAAAAAUGCUCUACCAUUCAAACAGUUUGCGUCGAAUUUACGACGUGUGGUGAUCUAAAAUCUGCACCUUGUACUUUUUCCUCUUACAAUUAGAUGUAGUUACCGGAUGCUUACGCAAGGGUUGUUUUCUCCGUACCAACUUCUUUCCCAGAGACUUUUUUCUUCGGGAUCUCGAAACGCCUCUGGGUCUCCACAAACGUCCUUCUCGACGGUCCACAGUUCUCCUGUUUCUUACCUUAUUAGCGGUAGAGAUGCUUGACCUGAAAACUUCGAGGCUGAAUAACAAGAAGGUGAAAUAAAUGGAAUGUACACGGGGUUUAAUCCCAUCUAGAUCGUAUUAAUUUUGAUAUAUAGGUAUAAUAUGCAGAAUACCACGAUUGUUCACCUUUACAAAGCCCCUUCGCUUCCAGAAUAAUAAUCAGCGGAAAGCCCAGGGGAUGUAAUACAGACUUCGCCUGUAUAAGAAAAAAAGAAGUUUUUCCACAUUUUGUUAACAGCAUUUACGGUUGAGAAUCUGUGAGCAACGCCUUACCAUUGUAAAUAUUUUUUAUGAAACUAAAAACGAACAGUGCAGAAUAAAUAACAUGAUAUGUUUAAAUAUAUUAUAUAUUUCGUCAUAAUAUCGAUCGAUCAGAUACAAUAAUACAUUUUUGGACCUGUAUAAUUAGGUAAACAUACAGAGGUAUACAACGCAAUCAAUUGGACAUAAUUGCAUUAUACAUUAUAAAUACUAAUAAUAAACGUCAUAGUUUGUUCUGAAGACUUUCGGUUAGUUGAAUACAGUGUUUAUUUUAUUUGUUUAUUUUUCGGAGAUGAGAAUUAGGUACGUAAGAUAAUUUACCGAUAACUUUAAGCGCGAAUACCUCAAGCUGUUAUUACACGUAUGAAAUUACAAGUGUAGAGAGGUGAGUCUUUCGGGUCUUUGGAAUGUUCAACGCGUUUAUAAUUCACGCACCUCCGCUACAAUCUUUCUUUCCAAUUCUUUUAAAUACAUGUACUGGAAGAUCACGCGUUACGAAAAUCGCACGUACAAUGUUUGUAGGAAUCGCAUACAACGUCUUUCUCGCUCUCUCUUGCCUUCUCUUAAUUCUUCUCUCUUCCUCCCUCAGUAUUUCGGCGUGUGCAUGUGUGUAGUAACAGCUUUAAUACGACGCUCAUCAAUGAUAACUCGAAGAAAACGCGAUAGCGACGUUAGAAGUGAGGAUGAAAGUAUCUUGCUUUUUGAUUUGUGCGAGAGAACAAAAUAAAAAAUACAUACCUACAUGUAUGUGUGUAUAAAUAAAAGAUUGCUUCAAGAGAUAAAUUCGGUAGAAACGUGACAUCUUCACCACGGUGACAACA
RNA transcript from Neodiprion fabricii, 4045 nucleotides. RefSeq lists it as uncharacterized. NCBI's taxonomy places the organism in Eukaryota, Metazoa, Arthropoda, Insecta, Hymenoptera, Diprionidae. The record is from RefSeq and is a predicted model, not a curated record. The transcript has 3 exons.